GGAUGUUUUUUCAUCAUCUCAGUCUUCAAAUGAAAAGCAAAUGUGGUUAUUGCAGGUAAUGUUACUGACUCAGGGAAUAGUCACUGUGGGAACUGAAGCCAAAACGGAGUCAUAGCACCCCCCCAUAAACCCUCCUGGCUAAUUUGCUCAUUGCUCCGGUCACAGCACAGCUGUGUGGGAAUUCUUGGCACCCAGGAGCACUCCAUUUUCAUUCCAUCUCAACAUUCAAGAGCAGAAAUCUUUUUAAGGCAGUCCUGCAGUACUCAUUUAGAGUUAAUAACCAAUCCUCCUGGGGCCUGGGGUUGUGGGGAGAGGGAGAAGGCAGUAUUUUAGUGGUGCAGCUGUAGUGCUGUAAAGAGCACAUAAAAAGAAUAAAUCUAUAACAUCACUUUUCCUUCUGCUGGAAAUAAAUAGCAAAACAUGCUACUUCUUUGGGCUGAGUAGCAAACAGCAUUAAAGAGUAGCACCACACUAUUUUUAUAUGCUGCUGGAGAGGGUGAUGGGUCUGAGAAGUCAGGAUUCAGGAGAAGUGCUGAGUGCUGAAGGCAAAAAGACAAAUGGAAACCUUCACCCUUAUUUUUUUUCUUUUGUAAAAAUAGCUAAAGCUUGAAAGUCCGCCUCUUGGAAGUGGCUUGUGAUUUCUUAAAAAAAAAAAAAGAACAUAAAAAAUAAUUUCUAGAUUCCUACAACAAAAGAGAGCUACACUAAGAAACUUGUAACUCAGUGCAACACUGGGACUAAAGAUAGCACCAAGAGAAUAUAUCCAACCCUUUUUAUCCAGCCUUUUCUUCAGGAAUCUUACAAGGAAAAAAACAUUCAUCAGCAAGAGUCAACCCUGACGAUAAAAUGCAGAAAUCAGUCUGAGUGUGCUGUGAGAGGCAGGUCUUUACCCCAAACGAGGAAAGGUGACUGUGGUGGUUUAUCAGAUGUGAUGUCGAUAUUGUCCAAGAGCUUGGAGUAAAGAACUGGAAAAAUGUGGUGUGGUAAGUGCAGUUCUUCAUGGGUUAGCACUGCUCUAAAAUCUGUCUUUCCC
This 1033-nucleotide long non-coding RNA is filed under the name Parus major (Great Tit). RNAcentral describes it as "lncRNA (ENSPMJG00000018728.1)". Lineage: Eukaryota; Metazoa; Chordata; Aves; Passeriformes; Paridae. The record is from RNAcentral.